CCAUGAUGCCCUGGGGCAGCAGCACAGAGCACAGAUAAACCAGACACAGAGGUGGCACCUGCAGGCAUCUGGCGCCAUAGCCUCCAAGCUGAUCACGUGGCCUCAUGGUUAUCCUUCUGGCACAGUCCGGCCAUCUGCCAUACAGUAGCUGCUCGGAAGAGAAACCCUCCUGGCAAAAGAAGGUGGAACUAUUUGUAGAGCCCAUCCGCCAUGAGCACUGGGAAUACUGCCGCAGGGAUACAGUGGACCGAGCACGAGUACCCUUCCUAAAUGUCUGGACCCUGUGUACCUGCCCAUUGGAGAGGCAAGAGCAGUCAUUCCUGUAUCUUAUUCGCCUGGCACCCCCGCAAAUACUAUUACUAUCGGUAGUCUACUGAAUUUAGGCUAUCCAUUGGACGGGAUUAUUAUACAAUCUCUCUUGUGUGGAGUAACCUCUUCCUGAUGUAAGCGACAGAACACAAGCGAGCUGUCUUUAAGGUGUAAAAUCCCACAUCCACCUAUUAAACAGUGCCCACAAUUCUCCAAGACCCGGACAAGCAGCAGAACUUAAGACACAAGCAGCAUUGGUUAGUGAGAAGAGCCAGG
This is a long non-coding RNA of Pseudophryne corroboree (corroboree frog), 585 nucleotides long. RefSeq lists it as uncharacterized. The record is from RefSeq and is a predicted model, not a curated record. Lineage: Eukaryota; Metazoa; Chordata; Amphibia; Anura; Myobatrachidae. The transcript has 5 exons.